Long non-coding RNA from Amphibalanus amphitrite, 126 nucleotides. RefSeq lists it as uncharacterized. The transcript is spliced from 2 exons. NCBI's taxonomy places the organism in Eukaryota, Metazoa, Arthropoda, Thecostraca, Balanomorpha, Balanidae. The record is from RefSeq and is a predicted model, not a curated record.
AUGAAUAUUAGUUCACCAGGGGUCAGCCCUGACCCGUUCUGUUCUCCAAAACAAGUUCAAAAUUCGACACGUCUCAAACGUGUUGUUAACUUGUUCUGCCAGGAGUGUUGGGAUCUUUUUUUUUCU